UGCUGCUGACGGAUCUUCGGGACCGCAGCGCCCGGACGCCGGACACAUUCUCUGGCCCGAGGACAAGGUUUUGGGGACAAGCAUGCAUUUUUGCACACUGGACUUUUUCUUACCGUCUUCCAAGUAUUAGUGGUUUCCUGCAAGACGCACCUUCCCGAAAUAGUGCGGUGCUUUAGAGUGACGUUCCUCACGUGCCGAGCGAUGUAUUAAACUUGGACCUUCUAAGCCACCCCGUCCUUCGAUCGCGCCAAGCUCUUCAUAGGCUCGUUAUAGCGUGGGCUGCAGACAAACAAACAGCUUCCUAAGUCCUUUGAGGAAAACUGGCCCGCGCAGACUCCCCAGAUGUCAAUUCAAAGAAUGUCGACGACCUUUUAGCUCCUCUCUUUGGAAAACCUUGCAAUAGAAGGAGGACGGACCCCGCCCAGAAACUGGUUCUGAUGUUGACAGAUGACACCACCAUCACACCAAGUGGGCUAUUUUGCAGGCCCUCUGUCCAGAAGAUGCCGUGGGCUCCGAGCUCUCAGCCACUUCCUGGGGGGAGGGGUCUCAACUCUGCUCUGGUCUGAUUGCCAAGGACGAGGGAGGCCUGCAUUUUCCUGCCUGAAGUUGGGAGUAAAAGAACAGUGCAACUAAGAAAAGCCCUGGAGUCCUGGUCCAGCUGAGCAGGGAGCUCAGUUCUGAAAGUGGAGCUAUAACAAGAGACACCUGCGCUGUAAUGACCUCCCAGAUUAAGAAAAAGUUGAAAAACCAGACCUGAAAGCAGCAGAGUCCUUCCCACGAGGGCAGUGCAGCCAUAAGUCUGUUUUGGAAAUGAACCAGCUGUGAGCGGACACGGCCCUGCGCGGUGACUAGGGGUUGGCGUGGAAAAAGAGGAGCCAGACCCAGGAAUCGAGAGAACAACGCACGACACAGUCAACUGCAGCUCUGAGCUCCUUGCUCCACCCACGGCUGAGGUGGCCCUUGGUCAUCACUUGCGAGUCCUCAGAAUCUCUCCUACCCGAGAGAGACCCCAAGACCCGAGUGCACACGUGGCCCCUGCACAGCAGCUUUCCCUGAAAAUGGCAGCGAUGGGGGCUGCCGCCUCACAGCUGGGCUGAGCACUGUUCCAAGCUCUGAUCACCCGGCAGCUGGAAGGGCAGUGAGUGCUUGAGAGGAGAACACUGGUUCAAGGACCAACGGAGUGUCUACUUAUUUUUACCUCUGAAAACUCUUCACCGUGCGUUUUCACUGCCGGCUCUUCUACCGCUGUUCCCUCAGCUCCUACUUGCAUCCUCUGCCCAUAAAACAAGGUGAAGUGGAUGUGGGACUUGACAGAAUGAACCGUUUGGCGUUGGGCACGUGGUUUUUCAGUAAAGGUGCCAGUACCAGCGUGUGUGAUGCUGGCACGGUUGUACUUGGGGACAGCGCCCCCCACUGUCCGUCCUGUGAGGUGUCUGCGUCCCUCUCACUUGUGCUGACCCCUCAAGGAGACAGAGAGGGCUGCUGAAUAACCAUGGAUGCACCCCAGGAACAAGACGUGCGUUCCAGCAUCCCAGCUGGAGGAAUCAUUUUCUAGUCAAUCUGCGGUGAACUUUAACCUAAAACAAGCCUGCUUUCAGAAUGAACUAGACCGUUAGGCGGAAUAUGACAGGGAAGCCGCCCGACGUGCUCACAAGAGCUUCUCGCAACCUGGUUAUGACGCAGAGGGUGUGUGUCACCCCCGAGUGACGGAGGUGGCCUCCGCUUGGUAUUCUUGAUGUAAUGUGGGUGAAUAUCCCCACUUACAUGUACGCACACCUCUUGUCUCUUGCCUACAAACUGGGUGGUAAGAUACUAGUGGUCAAAAAUUGCUUCUUACACAUCUUUCAUGCUUAAUGGAGUAUUGAAUUGAACUUGCUUAUUUUGUGGACCUUUGCCACACCUGCCCCAGCAGG
Long non-coding RNA from Balaenoptera acutorostrata (minke whale), 1913 nucleotides. RefSeq lists it as uncharacterized. NCBI's taxonomy places the organism in Eukaryota, Metazoa, Chordata, Mammalia, Artiodactyla, Balaenopteridae. The transcript is spliced from 3 exons. The record is from RefSeq and is a predicted model, not a curated record.